AUUGAACGCUGGCGGCAGGCCUAACACAUGCAAGUCGAGCGGAUGAAGGGAGCUUGCUCCUGGAUUCAGCGGCGGACGGGUGAGUAAUGCCUAGGAAUCUGCCUGGUAGUGGGGGAUAACGUCCGGAAACGGGCGCUAAUACCGCAUACGUCCUGAGGGAGAAAGUGGGGGAUCUUCGGACCUCACGCUAUCAGAUGAGCCUAGGUCGGAUUAGCUAGUUGGUGGGGUAAAGGCCUACCAAGGCGACGAUCCGUAACUGGUCUGAGAGGAUGAUCAGUCACACUGGAACUGAGACACGGUCCAGACUCCUACGGGAGGGAGCAGUGGGGAAUAUUGGACAAUGGGCGAAAGCCUGAUCCAGCCAUGCCGCGUGUGUGAAGAAGGUCUUCGGAUUGUAAAGCACUUUAAGUUGGGAGGAAGGGCAGUAAGUUAAUACCUUGCUGUUUUGACGUUACCAACAGAAUAAGCACCGGCUAACUUCGUG
This 484-nucleotide ribosomal RNA is filed under the name uncultured bacterium. RNAcentral describes it as "partial 16S ribosomal RNA". It matches the Rfam family "Bacterial small subunit ribosomal RNA", at positions 30 to 507 of the family's 1533-position model. The record is from RNAcentral.